GCCAAUCCUAGAAGUGCCCCAAGUUUAAUGUGCGAGGGGAGGAUCCUGAGCUUCCAGGGGCCCUGCCUGGGAGUGACUGGCAAGAAGGCUUCCUUAUGAUGGAAACCUGGUCUGGGUUGCUCACCACUGAACCUCCUCACACCUGGAGCCGUGCCUAGCACAAGGAGCUUACGUAUCCUCAGAAGAGAAGAAACAGAGACGAUUGCUGUCUUCAUUUUAGAGACAAAGAACCCGAGGCGUAGAGAGCCAGGAAAUGGAGGGUUCUCCAUGGGGAUGUGCUUGAGGGAGAAUGAGCAGUUUAAGAGAAAAGAAUUCCUCCAGAGUGGGUUGUGGAGAGCACUGGAGAAGGUCUGGGCUGGAGCUAGAGAUUUACCUUGGCUAAAGAUAAGAGUCUGUGGUGUAUAUACACAAUGGAAUACCAUUCAGCCUUGAAAAAGA
This 438-nucleotide long non-coding RNA is filed under the name Homo sapiens (human). RNAcentral's name for it is "HSALNT0346641". The record is from RNAcentral. Lineage: Eukaryota; Metazoa; Chordata; Mammalia; Primates; Hominidae.